This 2899-nucleotide ribosomal RNA is filed under the name Klebsiella pneumoniae. RNAcentral's name for it is "23S ribosomal RNA". It matches the Rfam family "Bacterial large subunit ribosomal RNA". The record is from RNAcentral. Lineage: Bacteria; Pseudomonadati; Pseudomonadota; Gammaproteobacteria; Enterobacterales; Enterobacteriaceae.
UUAAGCGACUAAGCGUACACGGUGGAUGCCCUGGCAGUCAGAGGCGAUGAAGGACGUGCUAAUCUGCGAAAAGCGUCGGUAAGGUGAUAUGAACCGUUAUAGCCGGCGAUGUCCGAAUGGGGAAACCCAGUGCAAUUCGUUGCACUAUCGUUAACUGAAUACAUAGGUUAACGAGGCGAACCGGGGGAACUGAAACAUCUAAGUACCCCGAGGAAAAGAAAUCAACCGAGAUUCCCCCAGUAGCGGCGAGCGAACGGGGAGCAGCCCAGAGUCUGAAUCAGCUUGUGUGUUAGUGGAACGGUCUGGAAAGUCCGACGGUACAGGGUGAUAGUCCCGUACACCAAAAUGCACAGGCUGUGAACUCGAAGAGUAGGGCGGGACACGUGGUAUCCUGUCUGAAUAUGGGGGGACCAUCCUCCAAGGCUAAAUACUCCUGACUGACCGAUAGUGAACCAGUACCGUGAGGGAAAGGCGAAAAGAACCCCGGCGAGGGGAGUGAAAAAGAACCUGAAACCGUGUACGUACAAGCAGUGGGAGCACCUUCGGGUGUGACUGCGUACCUUUUGUAUAAUGGGUCAGCGACUUAUAUUCUGUAGCAAGGUUAACCGUAUAGGGGAGCCGCAGGGAAACCGAGUCUUAACUGGGCGUUAAGUUGCAGGGUAUAGACCCGAAACCCGGUGAUCUAGCCAUGGGCAGGUUGAAGGUUGGGUAACACUAACUGGAGGACCGAACCGACUAAUGUUGAAAAAUUAGCGGAUGACUUGUGGCUGGGGGUGAAAGGCCAAUCAAACCGGGAGAUAGCUGGUUCUCCCCGAAAGCUAUUUAGGUAGCGCCUCGUGAAUUCAUCUUCGGGGGUAGAGCACUGUUUCGGCUAGGGGGUCAUCCCGACUUACCAACCCGAUGCAAACUACGAAUACCGAAGAAUGUUAUCACGGGAGACACACGGCGGGUGCUAACGUCCGUCGUGAAGAGGGAAACAACCCAGACCGCCAGCUAAGGUCCCAAAGUCAUGGUUAAGUGGGAAACGAUGUGGGAAGGCACAGACAGCCAGGAUGUUGGCUUAGAAGCAGCCAUCAUUUAAAGAAAGCGUAAUAGCUCACUGGUCGAGUCGGCCUGCGCGGAAGAUGUAACGGGGCUAAACCAUGCACCGAAGCUGCGGCAGCGACACUAUGUGUUGUUGGGUAGGGGAGCGUUCUGUAAGCCUGCGAAGGUGACCUGUGAGGGUUGCUGGAGGUAUCAGAAGUGCGAAUGCUGACAUAAGUAACGAUAAAGCGGGUGAAAAGCCCGCUCGCCGGAAGACCAAGGGUUCCUGUCCAACGUUAAUCGGGGCAGGGUGAGUCGACCCCUAAGGCGAGGCCGAAAGGCGUAGUCGAUGGGAAACAGGUUAAUAUUCCUGUACUUGGUGUUACUGCGAAGGGGGACGGAGAAGGCUAUGUUAGCCGGGCGACGGUUGUCCCGGUUUAAGCAUGUAGGCUGAUUGUCCAGGCAAAUCCGGAUAAUCAAGGCUGAGGUGUGAUGACGAGGCACUACGGUGCUGAAGUAACAAAUGCCCUGCUUCCAGGAAAAGCCUCUAAGCAUCAGGUAACAUCAAAUCGUACCCCAAACCGACACAGGUGGUCAGGUAGAGAAUACCAAGGCGCUUGAGAGAACUCGGGUGAAGGAACUAGGCAAAAUGGUGCCGUAACUUCGGGAGAAGGCACGCUGGUGUGUAGGUGAAGCCCCUGCGGGUGGAGCUGAGACCAGUCGAAGAUACCAGCUGGCUGCAACUGUUUAUUAAAAACACAGCACUGUGCAAACACGAAAGUGGACGUAUACGGUGUGACGCCUGCCCGGUGCCGGAAGGUUAAUUGAUGGGGUUAUCCGUAAGGAGAAGCUCUUGAUCGAAGCCCCGGUAAACGGCGGCCGUAACUAUAACGGUCCUAAGGUAGCGAAAUUCCUUGUCGGGUAAGUUCCGACCUGCACGAAUGGCGUAAUGAUGGCCAGGCUGUCUCCACCCGAGACUCAGUGAAAUUGAACUCGCUGUGAAGAUGCAGUGUACCCGCGGCAAGACGGAAAGACCCCGUGAACCUUUACUAUAGCUUGACACUGAACAUUGAGCCUUGAUGUGUAGGAUAGGUGGGAGGCUUUGAAGCGUGGACGCCAGUCUGCGUGGAGCCAACCUUGAAAUACCACCCUUUAAUGUUUGAUGUUCUAACGUUGGCCCCUUACCGGGGUUGCGGACAGUGUCUGGUGGGUAGUUUGACUGGGGCGGUCUCCUCCCAAAGCGUAACGGAGGAGCACGAAGGUUAGCUAAUCCUGGUCGGACAUCAGGAGGUUAGUGCAAUGGCAUAAGCUAGCUUGACUGCGAGCGUGACGGCGCGAGCAGGUGCGAAAGCAGGUCAUAGUGAUCCGGUGGUUCUGAAUGGAAGGGCCAUCGCUCAACGGAUAAAAGGUACUCCGGGGAUAACAGGCUGAUACCGCCCAAGAGUUCAUAUCGACGGCGGUGUUUGGCACCUCGAUGUCGGCUCAUCACAUCCUGGGGCUGAAGUAGGUCCCAAGGGUAUGGCUGUUCGCCAUUUAAAGUGGUACGCGAGCUGGGUUUAGAACGUCGUGAGACAGUUCGGUCCCUAUCUGCCGUGGGCGCUGGAGAAUUGAGGGGGGCUGCUCCUAGUACGAGAGGACCGGAGUGGACGCAUCACUGGUGUUCGGGUUGUCAUGCCAAUGGCACUGCCCGGUAGCUAAAUGCGGAAGAGAUAAGUGCUGAAAGCAUCUAAGCACGAAACUUGCCCCGAGAUGAGUUCUCCCUGAGACUUUAAGUCUCCUGAAGGAACGUUAAAGACGAUGACGUUGAUAGGCCGGGUGUGUAAGCGCAGCGAUGCGUUGAGCUAACCGGUACUAAUGAACCGUGAGGCUUAACCUU